RNAcentral lists this ribosomal RNA (445 nucleotides) under uncultured bacterium. RNAcentral's name for it is "partial 16S ribosomal RNA". It matches the Rfam family "Bacterial small subunit ribosomal RNA", at positions 330 to 792 of the family's 1533-position model. The record is from RNAcentral.
UCCAGACUCCUACGGGAGGCAGCAGUGGGGAAUAUUGCACAAUGGGGGGAACCCUGAUGCAGCGACGCCGCGUGGGUGAAGAAGUCAUUCGUGACGUAAAGCCCUAUCAGCAGGGAAGAAAAUGACGGUACCUGACUAAGAAGCCCCGGCUAACUACGUGCCAGCAGCCGCGGUAAUACGUAGGAGGCAAGCGUUAUCCGGAAUGACUGGGCGUAAAGGGUGCGUAGGUGGUUUGACAAGUUGGUAGCGUAACUCCGAGGCUUAACCUCGGCACUACUACCAAAACUGUUGGACUCGAGUGCAGGAGGGGCAAAUGGAAUUCCUAGUGUAGCGGUGGAAUGCGUAGAUAUUAGGAGGAACACCAGUGGCGAAGGCGAUUUGCUGGACUGUAACUGACACUGAGGCACGAAAGCGUGGGGAGCAAACAGGAUUAGAUACCCGAGUA